Molecule: ribosomal RNA, 328 nt
Filed under: uncultured eukaryote
Lineage: Eukaryota
Description: partial 18S ribosomal RNA
Rfam family: Eukaryotic small subunit ribosomal RNA
Source: RNAcentral
CCCUUAGAUGUCCUGGGCCGCACGCGCGUUAUACUGAUGCAUUCAACGAGCUUAUAACCUUGGCCGAGAGGCCUGGGCAAUCUUGUUAACGUGCAUCGUGAUAGGGAUAGAUUAUUGAAAUUAUUAAUCUUGAACGAGGAAUUCCUAGUAAACGCAGAUCAUCAAUCUGCAUUGAUUACGUCCCUGCCCUUUGUACACACCGCCCGUCGCACCUACCGAUUGGAUGGUCCGGUGAAGCCUCGGGAUUGUGGUUCUUGCCGCUUUAUUGUGGCGUGACCGCGAGAACUUGUCUAAACCUUAUCAUCUAGAGGAAGGCGAAGUCGUAACA